RNAcentral lists this ribosomal RNA (878 nucleotides) under uncultured fungus. RNAcentral describes it as "eukaryotic LSU rRNA". The stretch from base 432 to 585 matches the Rfam family "5.8S ribosomal RNA". Lineage: Eukaryota; Fungi. The record is from RNAcentral.
UCUUGGUCAUUUAGAGGAAGUAAAAGUCGUAACAAGGUUUCCGUAGGUGAACCUGCGGAAGGAUCAUUAAAGAAAUUUAAUAAUUUUGAAAAUGGAUUUUUUUGUUUUGGCAAGAGCAUGAGAGCUUUUACUGGGCAAGAAGACAAGAGAUGGAGAGUCCAGCCGGGCCUGCGCUUAAGUGCGCGGUCUUGCUAGGCUUGUAAGUUUCUUUCUUGCUAUUCCAAACGGUGAGAGAUUUCUGUGCUUUUGUUAUAGGACAAUUAAAACCGUUUCAAUACAACACACUGUGGAGUUUUCAUAUCUUUGCAACUUUUUCUUUGGGCAUUCGAGCAAUCGGGGCCCAGAGGUAACAAACACAAACAAUUUUAUCUAUUCAUUAAAUUUUUGUCAAAAACAAGAAUUUUCGUAACUGGAAAUUUUAAAAUAUUAAAAACUUUCAACAACGGAUCUCUUGGUUCUCGCAUCGAUGAAGAACGCAGCGAAAUGCGAUACGUAAUGUGAAUUGCAGAAUUCCGUGAAUCAUCGAAUCUUUGAACGCACAUUGCGCCCCUUGGUAUUCCAGGGGGCAUGCCUGUUUGAGCGUCAUUUCCUUCUCAAACAUUCUGUUUGGUAGUGAGUGAUACUCUUUGGAGUUAACUUGAAAUUGCUGGCCUUUUCAUUGGAUGUUUUUUUUCCAAAGAGAGGUUUCUCUGCGUGCUUGAGGUAUAAUGCAAGUACGGUCGUUUUAGGUUUUACCAACUGCGGCUAAUCUUUUUUUAUACUGAGCGUAUUGGAACGUUAUCGAUAAGAAGAGAGCGUCUAGGCGAACAAUGUUCUUAAAGUUUGACCUCAAAUCAGGUAGGAGUACCCGCUGAACUUAAGCAUAUCAAUAAGCGGAG